RNAcentral lists this non-coding RNA (186 nucleotides) under Desulfosporosinus meridiei. The record is from RNAcentral. Lineage: Bacteria; Bacillati; Bacillota; Clostridia; Eubacteriales; Desulfitobacteriaceae.
UGAAUAAUGGAAGAUAAAGGUGCUAGUACUGUAAGUACAGCUUAAAAGGGAAGCAGGUUAAAAUCCUGCACGGUCCCGCCACUGUAAUGGGAAGAUGUUUCACACGAGGCCACUGGGUUUAUUUCGGGAAGGCGUGAAGCAUUGAUGAUCCAAAGUCAGAAGACCUGCCUUUGUUGACGAACCAAU